UACGGAGGGUGCAAGCGUUGUUCGGAUUUACUGGGCGUAAAGGGCGUGUAGGCGGUUGGCUAAGUCAGAUGUGAAAUCCCUUAGCUUAACUAAGGAACGGCAUUUGAAACUAGCUAACUAGAGUACAGGAGAGGAAAGUGGAAUUCCCAGUGUAGAGGUGAAAUUCAUAGAUAUUGGGAGGAACACCGGUAGCGAAGGCGGCUUUCUGGCCUGAUACUGACGCUGAGACGCGAAAGCGUGGGUAGCAAACAGG
This 253-nucleotide ribosomal RNA is filed under the name uncultured bacterium. RNAcentral's name for it is "partial 16S ribosomal RNA". It matches the Rfam family "Bacterial small subunit ribosomal RNA", at positions 524 to 776 of the family's 1533-position model. The record is from RNAcentral.